Uranotaenia lowii is the source of this 4546-nucleotide long non-coding RNA. RefSeq lists it as uncharacterized. The record is from RefSeq and is a predicted model, not a curated record. The transcript is spliced from 2 exons. Lineage: Eukaryota; Metazoa; Arthropoda; Insecta; Diptera; Culicidae.
UUGGGUUUGUUUUCUUUCGAUCCGUCGUCCUUUGUUUGGCUGUGUUGGUUCCGAAGAUCGGUAUAAAAGCUUACGGUUCCGAACCGAAAGCCAUCACACUUCAGUGAGCAACCCAAGAGAUCGGAGCACCGAGCACGAAGAGAGAUCCCGAUCUAGGCAGGCAGGCAGGCAAGCGCUUUCGGCUCUUCCUUCGGGAAUCCGGAACGCUAAGCCGAACCUUAGAUCGUUAUUAGCUGAGUCGAGUUGUUUGCUUUGGAAAAGUGAUAAGAAUCAGUUGGUCAAAAUUAAGGUUGGGGUUGAAAAGUGUGAAAAUCUUAUCGGAUGCAGAUGUCAUGUGUGGACUAUUGGAAUUUUAUGUGUUCAAGUGAAAGUGACAGUUGAAAGUUCAAAGUUGGAAGACUGUUAAGCCGCCUUUAUCAGUGAGCGGGUGUGGAGGACGGGAAACGAAACAUCAACGGAGUGUGCUUUGAUCAAGGGAGGCGUUUUGUCGUGGAAUUAUCUCCACCCAAGGGACGAGAGUCUUAUCAGCCUUCGGAUGGUACGAUCGUGCUUCGGAAAGCCGAAGACUGUUAUCGUCGACGAGAGCGCCUGCUUCAAUCCAACUCAAUGGGAAUGACGCAACGGGCAGCGUAACGCAACGUAACGCAUCGUCGCAGAACAGCAGCAGUCUCGACUGUGGGAGCCGCGAUCGUCCACGAACUGACAAACGCUUCACGCAGCAGGGAGCCACUUGGGGAUGGUAAACUUCCCGGAAUCAUCCGUAAGCUUCAGCAGCGCGGGCCUCCAGGGACCUCCGAAAAAUCGCGUGUGCCGGCUUGGAACGCUCUGGACACGCCGAUGAGGAGGUUGGACGGUAAGAAAAAAAGGAAGUACGGUCCGAGUCCAACCAAGCAACCUGCCAAGAAUACAAAUAGCUCUACACAUACACACCCACAUACUGCAUCGACGACCUGAAUCCGGCUCGAAGGACCACAUGGGAUAAUGGUGAGAAAAGAGCUAGGGCGAUAGAUCAAACACCGUCGAACAAAAACGGCUUAAUCUGUUCCGACGUUUUGGCUAUCUCCACGCGGAGCUUUUUAUGACCACCAGUUAUCUAGUGGCAUCGUCAUCCUUGGCCAAGCAGAGCCGAGUCGUUUUCGGUUCCAUAAACCGACAAACGGGCAGAAAAAAAGACGGUCGAAAGGAUAGAAAAUAUUCCCCCGCAGCAUCGUAAUCGUUUUCGAUUGUGUGUCUGAUCCGGAACUUUCGUUCUGUCUCGGCGUGCACAAACUUUGGAUCACAACCGGAACAAAGAAGUUGCAGCCAGAAGCCGAGAGAGAGAGAGAAUACGUGAAAUGUCAGCAACAGUUCAAUUUACUGCAGCAGCACCAUCAUCAAUGAGAGAACGGCUGAAGCUGCAGUUUCCUGAGACUUUUUUUCUCGUGUGUACCUGCCUUCGAUUCGAGUGAGGAUAUUCCAUACUCAAACAUACACACACAAGAAGUAAAGGACGGGAGAAAAGAAGGAUCAGCUACCAGCAGCAGUGCGAUUCCGAGGAAGAAAAAUCGAACAGCGAAAUACCAUUUUUCAUUGCCGACUUCCGUCCCGGUCCGACUACGUUUCCGUGUCCUGGGAACUCGUACGUGAUCCCCGGAAUGGCAUUCCGAGUAUUUCAAUUUCCAAACCAUAAAUAUUUCACGCUUUUCCCAAUGCUUCCCCCGAAUUCAUUACAUCAAGUGGUUGCCUCAUUUUUGGAGCGCGUCAGCAUUUUUCAAAACUUUUUUUUCAACUGUUUUUUGAUUCAUCGUUUCUUAAGAGUGUUUUUUCGAGUGUUUUUAAACUUUUUUCAAACUUUCCUUUUUUUUCGUUUUAAAAUGUUUUCAAAUGUGUGUGUUCUAGCUUAGGAAACCCUUUCAAACAAUUAGGUUAAGAUUGUUGUUUUUUCGAGUGCCUUUCGUUUUUUUGUUUUAAUUUUAUUUGUUUUUUUUUUUUCAAUUUUUCAAAAGGCGUCCAUGUUUUUCCGACAAUUGACAGUGAAAGCGUUACCCUUUUCCAAAACCGUUUGUUAUUCAUCGUUAUGGCUGUUUGUUUGUUACCCGUUUGUUACCCGUUUGUUAUCGUUACCCGUUAUCCGUUUUCUUUCAACCGUUUGUUUCCAAUCGUACCCCACAGAAUCGAGAUCGUGACCCGAAGUUUUGUUUGUUAUUUGUUACUUGUUUUGACUUGUUCUGAGACAGGAGCAAAAUUUCUUCAACUUUUGCUGUUGUGACGCUCGAAAUCGUAACUGUUUCUGUUUACCGUUACGCGAUUUCAAGCAAACAGCAAAUUUUGGACGAAUUUUGUUUGCUUCGAAAGCUCGACUCGAUUCUGGAAACUUCGUUGUUACCUGUUACCCGUUACCGUUUUUGUUUCAUGUUUCUGUUUCCCAUCUGUUACUCUUCUGUUAUCAUUCGUUACAGUGCCUGUUGUUACUUGUUGGAGUCACGACGUCACUAGAUUCGAAACGUGGCACAGCAACCGCUUCGGCUUUCACCCGAAGACGAAUCGGUUGCUGCGUUACGCUCGAACAUCUUUAUGUUAUCACUGUUAUUAACCUUUGCAUGUUGUUUUGUUUUUGUUUCUGUUUUGUUUUUUCUGUUUCGUUCCGUUCUGUUUUGUUGAAACGCAGUUAAAGCGAGUUCAUUUAUUAUGUUUUGAACUUGCCGCUACUAAUUCGUUCAACAAUUUUGUUUUCGUUACCUGUUUUUUUUGUUUUUCAUUAUGUUUUCGUUCAAGUUUACCCGUUAAGUUUCAUGCCUGUUACAUUCCUGUUAACCCUUCGCUUGUUACUGUUUGUUAUUUGGAACUGAAACGUGGCAGCUGUCACCCAAAUUGUCCGAAGCUCAACAUGGCGCCCGCAUUUACUUUUUUAAUCAUUUCAUCUUCUGUUCGUUUGAGUGUGUUAGUCAUUUAAGUUUUUAAGUGUUUUCUAACAAUAACCACCUUCUAUACGUAAAAAAAAUUGCGAGCGAUCAAACUCGCUCCAGGUGACUUUGACAAUAAUUUCACCCUUUAUGUAGGUUAGUUUUUUAUUCUUCUAAAAUUUUUUAAACUUUUUUCGUAAGUCCAUAAUGUUGCAUUGGUUCAACACGCGCCUGCUUUGAUUGGCAUUUGAUUGAUGCGUCAAGCGUUAGGCAAAAAAACGUCAAAACGGUAACGUGUUGAACCUUCGUAAGAGAAUGGAUUUGAUAAAUGCAACCGUGCCACGGAAAAGGCCACCCAAGUAAAAAGGAGGAAAAUGCAAGGGAAAAACUGAAAAUCAAUGCGGGAAACCACUUGUUUAGGAAAACAUCACACUUGAGACAGUUUAAUUGUUCUGAAAGACACAAAGCCAAAUGGUUCACAGAAGAUCAACCAAAGCACGUUUGAAACGUUUAUACGAUGUUAAUCCUAACCUACUGAUUCAGAAACUUUGCCAUUGACAGUGCUCAGUUGAAAUAACAUCCGGAAAGCCGGAUGUUUGUUACACAAAAGAUUGUUAACCACACGUUAUUGUUACUCGUUGUUACCCUUGUUAUUGCUUUGUUUGUUAACUAGUUCUUAAGACCAAAACACCGUUCACCAACAAAAAGAAAAAAAAACUUACACAAACACAAAACACACAGAACACGCCGAGCAGUUGUUAUCUAGUGUUACUAAGUGUUACAGAUUGUUUUAUUCUCAGCAUUGCUUGUAAGCGUUUGUUCUCGAAUCGGUGAAAAGCCCAAACCAAAAAAAAAAAAGAAUUGUCGAAGUGGAACAUCAAACUGGAUCAAAUUGUCGCUAACCGGAUCCAAAACAGAAUCCUCUUCGUACAAUUUCGUUGUUAAUGUUUUUUUUUACUGUUACCAAUUAGAGCGCGUUUGUUCAAGUUGUCAGGUUAUGUUUAUAUUAUGAAAAGUUGUUAAAGCCCCCAAUCGUUACCGUACAAAAACAAAAAGAAACCACAUACACACAACACAAUCACCGUUAUCGAACCGUUACGUUUAUGUUUGUAUCCGUUGCUACUAGGAUUAGGCGAACAAUCGAAAAAAUCAACCCAAUCUUAGUAGGUCUGUUAUGUUUGCUUUGGUUAGAAAUCAAACUGUCACAGUGACAGUGACAGUUUGUUCAAGUGUAGGCGAAAACUAGCUGAAAAAAAAAUUGUAUUCGCGAGUUUUUACCGUUAAACACACAUUUUAAUUCAAUCAACUAACUUUUUUCUUAACAUUCGUAUUCGUCAAGUUAGAUUUAAUUCCCAAUAUUAUUAGAGUUUAAUCUUUCAAACGUUUUUUCGUUUUUAAGCUUUCAAAUUACAUUUUUCUAAAUUUUAUCAACGAAAAUUUUCCCAUUGCUAACAUUAAAUUUAAAGAAACCUAACAGUAAGCUUUUCAUUGUAUAAGACAAAUCCCUAGACUGUAAGAGAACUUUAAUUUGUAAUCAGGAAAAAAACACCACAGCAACCUUUGUUUGUUAGUUUGAGUGUGCCCCGUUCGAGUUUGAACUUUUACCUUCCUACCUUGUAAGCUUUGAAUAAAACCAGGUUUAUCACAAAACCCUACAAAAGAAA